AUUGAACGCUGGCGGAAUGCUUUACACAUGCAAGUCGAACGGCAGCACGGGGCAACCUGGUGGCGAGUGGCGAACGGGUGAGUAAUACAUCGGAACGUGCCCAGUCGUGGGGGAUAACGUAGCGAAAGUUACGCUAAUACCGCAUACGAUCUAAGGAUGAAAGCGGGGGAUCGCAAGACCUAGCGCGAUUGGAGCGGCCGAUGUCAGAUUAGGUAGUUGGUGGGGUAAAGGCCCACCAAGCCGACGAUCUGUAGCUGGUCUGAGAGGACGACCAGCCACACUGGGACUGAGACACGGCCCAGACUCCUACGGGAGGCAGCAGUGGGGAAUUUUGGACAACGGGCGCAAGCCUGAUCCAGCCAUUCCGCGUGCAGGAUGAAGGCCUUCGGGUUGUAAACUGCUUUUGUACGGAGCGAAAAGGCUCUCUCUAAUACAGGGGGCUCAUGACGGUACCGUAAGAAUAAGCACCGGCUAACUACGUGCCAGCAGCCGCGGUAA
Molecule: ribosomal RNA, 498 nt
Filed under: uncultured bacterium
Lineage: Bacteria
Description: partial 16S ribosomal RNA
Rfam family: Bacterial small subunit ribosomal RNA
Source: RNAcentral